Molecule: ribosomal RNA, 116 nt
Filed under: Fusarium fujikuroi
Lineage: Eukaryota; Fungi; Ascomycota; Sordariomycetes; Hypocreales; Nectriaceae
Source: RNAcentral
ACGACCAUACCUGCAGUAGAAUACGGGAUCCCGUCCGCUCUCCCAUAGUCAAGCCUGCAAGGGGCGGAUUAGUAGUUGGGUCGGUGACGACCAGCGAAUCCCCGCUGUUAUAUGUU